RNAcentral lists this ribosomal RNA (180 nucleotides) under uncultured Glomeromycotina. RNAcentral describes it as "partial small subunit ribosomal RNA". Lineage: Eukaryota; Fungi; Glomeromycota. The record is from RNAcentral.
GACCUGGCUGGGCGGUCCGCUUAACGGCGUGUACUGUCUGGCUGGGCCUUACCUCUUGGUGAGCCGGCGUGCCCUUCACUGGUGUGCGUCGGGGAACCAGGACUUUUACCUUGAAAAAAUUAGAGUGUUUAAAGCAGGCUAACGCUUGAAUACAUUAGCAUGGAAUAAUGAAAUAGGACG